This 301-nucleotide ribosomal RNA is filed under the name uncultured bacterium. RNAcentral's name for it is "partial 16S ribosomal RNA". It matches the Rfam family "Bacterial small subunit ribosomal RNA", at positions 509 to 807 of the family's 1533-position model. The record is from RNAcentral.
CAGUAGCCACGGGAAUACGGAGGGGGCUAGCGUUGUUCGGAAUUACUGGGCGUAAAGCGCACGUAGGCGGCUUUGUAAGUUAGAGGUGAAAGCCCGGAGCUCAACUCCGGAAUUGCCUUUAAGACUGCAGAGCUAGCAGGUGAGAGAGGUGUGUGGAAUUCCGAGUGUAGAGGUGAAAUUCGUAGAUAUUCGGAAGAACACCAGUGGCGAAGGCGGCUCACUGGCUCAUACUGGACGCUGAGGUGCGAAAGCGUGGGGAGCAAACAGGAUUAGAUACCCGCGUAGUCCCUGUCUCUUAUAC